AUGCAGUCGAGCGAACAGAUGAGAAGCUUGCUUCUCUGAUGUUAGCGGCGGACGGGUGAGUAACACGUGGGUAACCUACCUAUAAGACUGGGAUAACUCCGGGAAACCGGGGCUAAUACCUGAUAAUAUUUUGAACCGCAUGGUUCAAUAGUGAAAGACGGCUUCGGCUGUCACUUAUAGAUGGACCCGCGCCGUAUUAGCUAGUUGGUAAGGUAAUGGCUUACCAAGGCAACGAUACGUAGCCGACCUGAGAGGGUGAUCGGCCACACUGGAACUGAGACACGGUCCAGACUCCUACGGGAGGCAGCAGUAGGGAAUCUUCCGCAAUGGGCGAAAGCCUGACGGAGCAACGCCGCGUGAGUGAUGAAGGUCUUAGGAUCGUAAAACUCUGUUGUUAGGGAAGAACAAAUUUGUUAGUAACUGAACAAGUCUUGACGGUACCUAACCAGAAAGCCACGGCUAACUACGUGCCAGCAGCCGCGGUAAUACGUAGGUGGCAAGCGUUAUCGGAAUUAUUGGGCGUAAAGCGCGCGUAGGCGGUUUCUUAACUCUGAUGUGAAAGUCCACGGCUCAACCGUGGAAGGUCAUUGGAAACUGGGGAACUUGAGUGCAGAAGAGGAGAGUGGAAUUCCAUGUGUAGCGGUGAAAUGCGCAGAGAUAUGGAGGAACACCAGUGGCGAAGGCGGCUCUCUGGUCUGUAACUGACGCUGAUGUGCGAAAGCGUGGGGAUCAAACAGGAUUAGAUACCCUGGUAGUCCACGCCGUAAACGAUGAGUGCUAAGUGUUAGGGGGUUUCCGCCCCUUAGUGCUGCAGCUAACGCAUUAAGCACUCCGCCUGGGGAGUACGACCGCAAGGUUGAAACUCAAAGGAAUUGACGGGGACCCGCACAAGCGGUGGAGCAUGUGGUUUAAUUCGAAGCAACGCGAAGAACCUUACCAAAUCUUGACAUCCUUUGAUCGCUCUAGAGAUAGAGUUUUCCCCUUCGGGGGACAAAGUGACAGGUGGUGCAUGGUUGUCGUCAGCUCGUGUCGUGAGAUGUUGGGUUAAGUCCCGCAACGAGCGCAACCCUUAAGCUUAGUUGCCAUCAUUAAGUUGGGCACUCUAGGUUGACUGCCGGUGACAAACCGGAGGAAGGUGGGGAUGACGUCAAAUCAUCAUGCCCCUUAUGAUUUGGGCUACACACGUGCUACAAUGGAUAAUACAAAGGGCAGCGAAACCGCGAGGUCAAGCAAAUCCCAUAAAAUUAUUCUCAGUUCGGAUUGUAGUCUGCAACUCGACUACAUGAAGCUGGAAUCGCUAGUAAUCGUAGAUCAGCAUGCUACGGUGAAUACGUUCCCGGGUCUUGUACACACCGCCCGUCACACCACGAGAGUUUGUAACACCCGAAGCCGGUGGAGUAACCUUUUAUUAGGAGCUAGCCG
Molecule: ribosomal RNA, 1422 nt
Filed under: Mammaliicoccus vitulinus
Lineage: Bacteria; Bacillati; Bacillota; Bacilli; Caryophanales; Staphylococcaceae
Description: bacterial SSU rRNA
Rfam family: Bacterial small subunit ribosomal RNA
Source: RNAcentral